GAGCUGCUCCAAGCGUUAUCCGGAAUUAUUGGGCGUAAAGGGUGUGUAGGCGGUUUUGUUAGUCGGUUGUUAAAGCUCCCCGCUUAACGGGGAAAAUGCAAUCGAAACGGCAAAUCUAGGGGAUGCGAAAGGUGAACAGAACUCAUAGUGUAGGGGUGAAAUCCGUUGAUAUUAUGGGGAAUACCAAAUGCGAAGGCAGUUCACUGGCGCACUUCCUGACGUUGAAACACGAAAGCGUGGGUAGCGAAUGGGAUUAGAUACCCCAGUAGUCCACGCCCUAAACGAUGAUCACUUGUUUUUCGGAGUAUCGACCCUCUGAGAGACGAAGCUAACGCGUUAAGUGAUCCGCCUGGGUAGUACGGCCGCAAGGCUA
Molecule: ribosomal RNA, 373 nt
Filed under: uncultured bacterium
Lineage: Bacteria
Description: bacterial SSU rRNA
Rfam family: Bacterial small subunit ribosomal RNA
Source: RNAcentral